RNAcentral lists this ribosomal RNA (198 nucleotides) under uncultured bacterium. Its description in RNAcentral is "partial 16S ribosomal RNA". It matches the Rfam family "Bacterial small subunit ribosomal RNA", at positions 328 to 539 of the family's 1533-position model. The record is from RNAcentral.
ACGCUCGACACCUACGAGAGGCAGCAGUGGGGAAUAUUGCACAAUGGGGGAAACCCUGAUGCAGCGACGCCGCGUGAAGGAAGAAGUAUUUCGGUAUGUAAACUUCUAUCAGCAGGGAAGAAACUGACGGUACCUGACUAAGAAGCACCGGCUAAAUACGUGCCAGCAGCCGCGGUAAUCUGAGCGGGCUGGCAAGGC